UUACCUGGUCUUGACAUCCCUGACAACCCGAGAGAUCGGGCGUUCCCCUUCGGGGGACAGGGUGACAGGUGGUGCAUGGUUGUCGUCAGCUCGUGUCGUGAGAUGUUGGGUUAAGUCCCGCAACGAGCGCAACCCUCGACCUUAGUUGCCAGCAUUCAGUUGGGCACUCUAAGGUGACUGCCGGCUAAAAGUCGGAGGAAGGUGGGGAUGACGUCAAAUCAUCAUGCCCCUUAUGACCUGGGCUACACACGUGCUACAAUGGGCGGUACAAAGGGUCGCGAACCCGCGAGGGGGGAGCCAAUCCCAAAAAGCCGCUCUCAGUUCGGAUUGCAGGCUGCAACUCGCCUGCAUGAAGCCGGAAUCGCUAGUAAUCGCGGAUCAGCAUGCCGCGGUCGAAUACGUUCCCGGGCCUU
Molecule: ribosomal RNA, 413 nt
Filed under: uncultured Anoxybacillus sp.
Lineage: Bacteria; Bacillati; Bacillota; Bacilli; Caryophanales; Anoxybacillaceae
Description: bacterial SSU rRNA
Rfam family: Bacterial small subunit ribosomal RNA
Source: RNAcentral